GCACCCCCACAACCACGCGACCAUUGGGUUUAAUUCAAAGUAACGCGAACAACCUUACCAACACUUAACAUCUCCUAAAUACCCUAGAGAUAGUUGAAAGCCUUCGGGCCAGAAAAACAGGUGGUCCAUGGUUGUCGUCAGCUCGUGUCGUAAGAUGUUGGUUUAAGUCCCGCAACGAGCGCAACUCCCGUCGUUAGUUGCCAUCAUUAAGUUGGGCACUCUAGCAAGACUGCCGAGGUUAACUCGGAGGAAGGUGGGGAUGACGUCAAAUCAUCAUGCCCCUUAUGUCUUGGGCUACACACGUGCUACAAUGGCCGGUACAGAAAGAAGCGAACCCGUGAGGGGGAGCAAAUCUCAAAAACCGGUCCCAGUUCGGAUUGUAGGCUGCAACUCGCCUACAUGAAGCCGGAGUUGCUAGUAAUCGCGGAUCAGCAUGCCGCGGUGAAUACGUUCCCGGGUCUUGUACACACCGCCCGUCACACCAUGAGAGUCGGCAACACCCGAAGUCAGUGGGCUAACUCGAAAGAGAGGCAGCUGCCGAAGGUGGGGUCGAUGAUUGGGGUGAAGUCGUAACAAGGUAA
RNAcentral lists this ribosomal RNA (581 nucleotides) under uncultured bacterium. RNAcentral describes it as "bacterial SSU rRNA". It matches the Rfam family "Bacterial small subunit ribosomal RNA", at positions 917 to 1499 of the family's 1533-position model. The record is from RNAcentral.